AUUGAUUGAAGAGGUUGGUGUGAUUACAGGGAAGUUCAACUUUCAAGAUUAUAUUUGGUUUUGCAAGAAUAUAGAUGUACAAGGAUUUGGGAAGAGGAUUAAGAAAGUGCAAGUGAGAUUGGAUUCAAUGAUGGAAAGUAUCCUGAAAGAGCAUGAAGAGGCAAGGAUGAAGAAGAAGAAUGGCAAGACAAGUGAAAAUGGUGAAUUGGGUGAUGAUUUCAGCAAGGAUCUUGUUGAUAUAUUGCUGGAUAUCAUGGAAGAUGAAAGCUCAGAGAUGAGACUUUCCAGGGAGAGUGUCAAAGCCUUUAUCCUGGAGAUGUUUACUACGGG
This 330-nucleotide unclassified non-coding RNA is filed under the name Hevea brasiliensis (rubber tree). The record is from RNAcentral. Lineage: Eukaryota; Viridiplantae; Streptophyta; Magnoliopsida; Malpighiales; Euphorbiaceae.